AGAGAGAGAGAGAAAGGAAACCUCUGGCCCCUUCAUUGUUCGAAUUUCUUGAUCCCCUGGCCUCUUCAUUGCUUGGCGGCUAGGCUACUAGCGGUUUUCCAUCAUCGCGCGCAGUUCCAUCACUGAAGAACCUGACCUAGCUGCUAAAGAUGGAAGAAGAGCCCAACCCUGUUCACUCCCCUCCUCAAAACUCCGUAACUCCUCUUACAAAUGACAGAUACGAGCGUAUAAUGAGCAAUCUCAGAGCCUCGGUGUUUUCGAAAAUAAGCCCCUCAGGAGACAUUGCGCCUCAAAUCAAGACCUACAUUGAAAAACGGCUGCGAGAAUUCUUCCCCAGUUUCCACACACCCUCUCACCCACCUUACGCCUCUAUGAUUCUAAGGGCAAUUUCAGAGUUGAAUGAUGAAGGGGGGUCCACCGAGGAGGCAAUAUCAGCAUUUAUUAAAAGAGAGUAUGAGCAUUUGCCAUGGGGGCAUGAGAGUUUUUUGAGUCAUCAUUUGAGGAAGCUUUGUCGGAAUUUGGAGAUAGAAUGUGUAAAUAAUGGACGAUAUAUGCUUUUAUUUGAAGAUUGUGAGUUUAAGGAGAUGACAGGAGCAAGUAGGAAAAAGCAGGGUCGCAGAGGUAGGCAGGGCAGGAAAAAAGGCAGAGCGAAGGAGAUGAAGAAACAAAGUCAAGCUGAAAACCAACAAAUUGAAGUAUAUAAAGAG
RNAcentral lists this unclassified non-coding RNA (707 nucleotides) under Hevea brasiliensis (rubber tree). Lineage: Eukaryota; Viridiplantae; Streptophyta; Magnoliopsida; Malpighiales; Euphorbiaceae. The record is from RNAcentral.